Molecule: long non-coding RNA, 818 nt
Filed under: Mytilus galloprovincialis (Mediterranean mussel)
Lineage: Eukaryota; Metazoa; Mollusca; Bivalvia; Mytilida; Mytilidae
Source: RNAcentral
AUAAAAUGAUGGAAAACUGCAUUGAUUUCAUUUUUGUUAUAUGUAUGUAACUGUGUACAUUGGUUUCAUUGGGAUAUGCAUUUAAAUAUAAGCAGAUGUGGUAUGAUUGCCAAUGAGACAACUGUCCACCAAAGACAAAAUGAUACAGAAAUUAACAACUAUGUCACUGUACUGCCUUCAACAAUGAGUAAGACCCAUACCACACAGCAAGCUACAUGUAUAAAAGGCCCAAAAAUGACAAAUAGAAAACAAUUUAAACAAGAAAACUUAUGGUAUGAUUUAUGUACAAAUAAUAAACAAAACAAAAAAAAAAGGAUUAACAGCACCAAAAUAAAACAUUGAAUUACAGACCAUGCAUUAAUAUUAUACUCAUAUAAAAAUGAAGUAACAUAAGUACUAAGUUUCACCUUAAUUUAAAAUAUCCUAGUUUCAAAACAUCAAGCAAAUAGGAAACCACUUAGUAUUCCUUAACUUUUUCAUGAGAAAAUUAUCAAGAGAAAAGUGACAGAUACCAAAGGGAUAAUCAAACACAAAGUAUAAAACAAAUUGACAAUGUCAUGGACAAAAAAGAUAAACAGCCAAUAAUCAAACUGCAGUACACAAGACAAAACAUAGAAGCAAUGCAAAGCAAUGUUAUCAAAAAUCUAGAUAUAUCCUGAGAGGUUUCAUGUUUGUAUGUUCACUCAAAAUGAAACUUGUUAUUCUUUAAAGCCAGUGGAAAUGAACUGCUGCAGGUACAAAAAAAAAUACCAUGUUGACUGAUUUCACAUCAUAAACCAUCAGUACUGACCAACAGUGAAAAUAAAGCUACUCAACCC